Molecule: ribosomal RNA, 253 nt
Filed under: uncultured bacterium
Lineage: Bacteria
Description: partial 16S ribosomal RNA
Rfam family: Bacterial small subunit ribosomal RNA
Source: RNAcentral
UACGUAGGGGGCAAGCGUUGUCCGGAAUUAUUGGGCGUAAAGCGCGGGCAGGCGGCCUCGCAAGUCUGAUGUGAAAGCACUCUGCUCAACAGAGUGAUGCCAUUGGAAACUACAAGGCUGGAGUCUGGCAGAGGUAGGCGGAAUUCCGGGUGGAGUGGUGAAAUGCGUAGAGAUCCGGAGGAACACCAGAGGCGAAGGCGGCCUACUGGGCCAGUACUGACGCUGAGCCGCGAAAGCCAGGGGAGCGAACGGG